GGCCCAGAGCUCGGGGAGGGCAACGCCAGCGCUCAGCUCCCCCCCCCCGCCUCGGAUCCCCGUUCCAGGGGCAUCCUCUGCCCAGCGCAGCGAGGGAGAGCGGGCUGGCAUCGCCCGGGCUGUGGUUUUGGCAGCUGCUGGCACCGGGUUCCCCCCGCGGGCAGGUGCUGCUCCCGCGACCGCGAGGAGGAGGAGGAGGAGGAGAGGGGGGAGCUCAGCUCUCACAUCAAGGAGCUCCCAACUGAAGUGCCGCCCGCGUGCUCGGCUUGUGGAGCCAGGAGGGAUUUAACCCCCGGGUUUGACAAUCCCACGUGGAGGCAGGAGAGGGAGGAACGCGGGCAGAGAGUCUGACCCCCUGUGCAAACCCCCAGCUGGGAGAAGAAGUUCGAUUUGCUGGGGCCGGGGGUAGCAAAGAGCUCGGACAGGAACCUGCACUAAACCUUUGACACACAAGACAUUUCCCUUUGGGGCCGAGGCAAACAAAGGAAGGAAGUGUCUGGGACUUUUAAAGCGACCCAGUGGAGACAGAGUUCUCUGUGCCCGAGGCUGCCAGGGCUGCCCUGCUCACCCCCUGGGCACCACCAGGCUCUGGGAAGUCUCCUGGGCUCAGGUGCUGGGGCAGCCCGGACCAUUCCUGGCAGAUCCCACCAUUCCUCAGCUUUUCUUCGGUGUGAAAGAGCCUUUGCCCCUUCCCAGCGCUCGGAUCCCCCCCGGAAAACGAGCAGCUGGAGCUGUUCUUGCCCUGCAAAAGGGGAGAAAACCCCCGUGGGAUGGAGGGAUUGAAAAAUAACACCACAUCAUUAAAAAAAAGGCUCUUCAUUAGCCCUGUUCUCUGUCCCUACACCACUUGUAUGGGGGGGCACGGGGAAUCCUCGUGUUUCCAGCACUGGGAAUGGCACCAGCAAGGAGUUUUCCGUGGGAUGCCGCCUCUGACAGCACAUCCUGCACCACCUCAGCUGCUGAGGGACCUCAGCCUUUCCCAAAGUAACAUCCCCGUUUCCUCAUCCCUGUAAAAAAAUAAUAAAAACUAAAAGAGAUCGCUG
Long non-coding RNA from Pipra filicauda (Wire-tailed manakin), 1043 nucleotides. RefSeq lists it as uncharacterized. The record is from RefSeq and is a predicted model, not a curated record. The transcript has 4 exons. NCBI's taxonomy places the organism in Eukaryota, Metazoa, Chordata, Aves, Passeriformes, Pipridae.